GCCAGGCGUGGGAGUGCAUGCCUGUAAUCCCAGCUACUUGGGAGGCUGAGGUAGGAGGAUCACUUAAGCCCAGGAGAUGGAGACUGCAGUGAGCUGAGAUUGCACCACUGCACUCCAGCCUGGGUGACAGAGUGAGAUCCUGUCUCAA
Molecule: unclassified non-coding RNA, 148 nt
Organism: Pongo abelii (Sumatran orangutan)
Lineage: Eukaryota; Metazoa; Chordata; Mammalia; Primates; Hominidae
Rfam family: Metazoan signal recognition particle RNA
About the family: The signal recognition particle (SRP) is a universally conserved ribonucleoprotein.
Source: Ensembl